GACGAACGCUGGCGGCGUGCUUAACACAUGCAAGUCGAACGGAAAGGCCUCAGCUUGCUGGGGUACUCGAGUGGCGAACGGGUGAGUAACACGUGGGUGAUCUGCCUUGCACUCUGGGAUAAGCUUGGGAAACUGGGUCUAAUACCGGAUAUGAACUGCCAUUAGUGUGGUGGUUGGAAAGUUUUUUCGGUGCAAGAUGAGCUCGCGGCCUAUCAGCUUGUUGGUGGGGUAAUGGCCUACCAAGGCGUCGACGGGUAGCCGGCCUGAGAGGGUGUACGGCCACAUUGGGACUGAGAUACGGCCCAGACUCCUACGGGAGGCAGCAGUGGGGAAUAUUGCACAAUGGGCGGAAGCCGGAUGCAGCGACGCCGCGUGGGGGAUGACGGCCUUCGGGUUGUAAACUCCUUUCGACAGGGACGAAGCAUUUUGUGACGGUACCUGUAUAAGAAGCACCGGCUAACUACGUG
Molecule: ribosomal RNA, 467 nt
Filed under: uncultured bacterium
Lineage: Bacteria
Description: partial 16S ribosomal RNA
Rfam family: Bacterial small subunit ribosomal RNA
Source: RNAcentral